This 245-nucleotide ribosomal RNA is filed under the name uncultured bacterium. RNAcentral describes it as "partial 16S ribosomal RNA". It matches the Rfam family "Bacterial small subunit ribosomal RNA", at positions 524 to 768 of the family's 1533-position model. The record is from RNAcentral.
CACGUAGGAGCCAAGCGUUAUCCGAAUUCACUGGGCGUAAAGCGCGUGCAGGCGGUCCGGUAAGUUGGAUGUGAAAUCUCCUGGCUCAACUGGGAGAGGACGUUCAAUACUGUCGGACUAGAGGGUGAUAGAGGAAGGUGGAAUUCCCGGUGUAGUGGUGAAAUGCGUAGAUAUCGGGAGGAACACCAGUGGCGAAAGCGGCCUUCUGGAUCACAUCUGACGCUCAGACGCGAAAGCUAGGGGAG